GUGACGCCCUCACCCUAGAGUCAGUUUCCCACGUCACAAUCGACCUUGGUGGAGUCGGACAAGGGGGGGAUCGCCAGAACUGUGAAGCUCCGAGUAGAGCCACUUAAGGAAUAAUGGAAGAGAAAAUGUGGGUGCCCUGAGCCAGGUGCUCCUUUGUGGUGACUCCAGCAGCAGGAGCAGCAGUAUAAUGGCUGCUGGAGAGUGAGGCACCGUCCAUCACCGUCCCCACCAUGAGAAUUCUCUAGUCAUCCUAGUCAAUCAGUCUACUGUGACGUCUCAUCACCAGUGACAUAAUUCUUUAUUGUGAUAUACUGUAUUAUGAAAUGUAGCCAGCCCCAUUGUGAGUCGAUCACCUGUGUCCGGGUGGACUAUUCCCCAUUAAAAAGAGAAAGAAAGAAAGAAACUUUGAAUGUUUAGGACACAAUAAGUAAGGUUCAUUAAACUUCAUUCCUCCACACACUUUAUAACCUGCAUUUUCACAUCCAAACUGAUGCUUUUCUUUGACUGGUUGGCCACAUUACUAACACUAUCACCUGCUUGCAGACCUUUCCCCAGACAUUAUGGGUCAAUUAGGGGUCACAAAAUUAUGCACAAAUAAGGAGAAAUAGAGUUACUUCACGAGUAUGACUCGUAUGUUGAUAACUGGCAGAAUGAGACAUUGAGUGAGACUUUUGAACUGCUUGACAAUUUCUUUUCUCUAGCAAAAACAACAAAAACAACAACUGAUAAUUAUAACAAAGGAGUGCUAAAAGCAGCAUUAAUCAAGGUUUUCCUGUAUAUAUUCUGUAUAUUAAAAAAAAAAGGUAAAAUACCCUUUUAUAUCUCAAUUAUUUGUUUACUUCGAAUUAGGAAACUUUCUUUGUUUUCAUAACUUCAAAAUGUGUUUGUUAGGUUAAUAAAGUUCUUCAGUAAAUAAUAAAAAAAAAUAUAUGCUCAAGUAGUUCUCUUGAGUUAAUCAUUCAUACACACCUCAGGGAUUAGAGGAAUAUAUUUAACAAGCUACUCUACUGUUAGUAUCAGACCUGGAAGCUGACCACAAGGAGAACCCAGAGUCCUGUAGCAGUCCUAAAUGAAUGUGAAAAAAUCAAGUUUUAUGAAUUAAUACAGGAUGAUGUUACCUUUAACAUGAAAAAUUUAUUAUCACAUUUUAACUUUAAAUUAUCACUGGUUACGUUGGAUAUAUUAGUCUGUAAACAACUGAGAGGUGAACUGUAAUGGUUUUAUAUUACUGUACUUGGAUGUGUUUGUAACAUGAUAACAUUAAGAAGUUUUUUCACCCUCUCAGUCUAUGGUUGUGAUCAGCCAUGAGCAGCUUCUGGUUGUCAAUAUUUUGUCAAAAUAUAGUUUUUUCAUAGGUUAAGGAAAAUAAAGUACAGUUUGUCAAAAUCUAUUUUCAUAAUCAAUUAUCACUGGGAGUCAAAGCUGUUCAGAAUCUGUGUUAAGUAUUUGGCAUCACUACUUUUAUUCUUUGGAUUUCCUGGAACUGGCCAGUAAGUUUUUGUAUAAUUUAUUGUGACCUGUUGUAAUGACUUUUGUAUUUAUUUAUUUAUAAAGAAGUAAAUACAGUAUUCAUGUUGUUGAGUGAUGUUAAUCAAUUAAUACGAUUUGUUACCAGGAUAACCGUUUGAUUUAAUAUUUUUCAUUUUUGUUGUUGCUGGAAUCAUAUCAUUGUAUAUAACCAUGUGAUGUCAGUUUCAUAUAUGUUGUGCUGUCAUUAUCAGUAUUUAUUUUGUAAUUUUAUUUGUAAGUAGCCAGCAGACCCAUUCUUUGAAUAAAAAUCUCAAAUUUUA
RNAcentral lists this long non-coding RNA (1790 nucleotides) under Homarus americanus (American lobster). RNAcentral describes it as "uncharacterized LOC121858305, transcript variant X2". Lineage: Eukaryota; Metazoa; Arthropoda; Malacostraca; Decapoda; Nephropidae. The record is from RNAcentral.